This is an RNA transcript of Micropterus dolomieu (smallmouth bass), 1788 nucleotides long. It is a transcript of the gene named nectin-3-like protein, with no coding region annotated. NCBI's taxonomy places the organism in Eukaryota, Metazoa, Chordata, Actinopteri, Centrarchiformes, Centrarchidae. The transcript is spliced from 7 exons. The record is from RefSeq and is a predicted model, not a curated record.
CUACUGUUUCUGUCGUUGUUGAAUCCCUCAAUGGAUUCGGGCUGAUUGUAAUGCAUUUGGGGAGCUCAGAUAUGGCUGGAAGUGCACUGGGAACGGUCCUCUCUCUCCUGCUCUUCGCCUCUAUUAUACAAGGGCUCCGGGAUUUUCAGGUGUUCCAUAUUGAAAAGAUGGAGGCAGUAGUGGGCCAGACUGUUACCUUACCCUGUAUUGUAAAAAACAGUACCAAUCUCCAGAUUGUCAGUAUUGAAUGGAGUAAGAACAAAAUUAACAACGCAAAGCUGGCUGUGUUCAGCAAAGGGUUUGGAACCCAUCUAUUUUGGCCUAAUGUCACCAUCCAGAGCUUGUCAAUGGGCUCCUAUCUACACCUUUCUAAUGUGGCGAAAUGGGACAGUGGCAUCUAUAUUUGUGACCUCACAAGUUUUCCUCGGGGCUCCAUCAGGAGCGAAACAGAGCUAAAGAUCAAAGAUGCCGAUGUGGAAAUAAUGUGUGAUGUAAACAGCACUGUUGAGGUCCAUACUGGAGAAAAUGUGACCAUUCACUGCAUAUCAUUCCCUAAUACAGAGUACAGGUGGACAAAGAAUGAGACACUGGUGUCAGAGAAAGCAUCUCUGGAGCUCUGGUGGGUGACGGAUGCUCACACAGGGGUUUAUGCACUGACUGUCACCACAGGAUACAAAAGUCUGCAUAAAGAGUUUACCGUCACAGUGCUAACAGCAACCACAAGCUUAAGGACAGAUCUCGUGACAGUGUUGCCUCAGUCCAAUGCAACUGUGCAGGGUUUGAUCAGAUCAACAGGACGUGGCCAUACUACAUCACCGACCACUGGGCUUUCAACAACUGAUACCAAUGUAACGUGGACCAUGAGUACGGGCAUUGAUGUAACAGAAGAUCCAAAUCCUAGCAAAUCUACAAUCACAGCUGCACAGCGUCUUACACACACCAGCGUCACAUCACCCCCUGCCUCAUACACUGACCUCUAUCACUCAAACAACACCAGUGAUCUUGAGAUAAACCCGACUCACAGUUUAAACACAUCCACUUUUUCUGACCAAUCAGUGACCAGCAACCUAUCCACAACAUUGAGUUAUAACAGUAAGGUGUUUAGAUCAACACAGGAGAUAAGGAAUCAGUCCAUGGGAACCAUCGUGGAAAACUCUGACAGUCCUGGUGCAACCCAAACCCUGACUACUGGGACUGAGAAUAAAGUGAGGCGAGCAGCCGCAGUGCCGGAAAGUAAACAGUAAAAACUGUAAGUACCUGAAAACAGAGCACAAUGCUCAAACAGACCUCUUGAAAGCUACAGAUGCAUAUUAGCCACAGCUUCGUUACCUUCACCAUCUGCAUUUUCAUCAUAUGCGGAGGCCUGACAGAUUCCAGUUUUUCUAAGCCUCAGGCUAUAGAUUGCCUUUUUCAUGGUACAAAUCUCUGUCAACUUCUGGGGUCGGAGUCUGACAAGCUGAGGGGGAGGAACGGAGACACACUUUUCUGCCUCAAGGCAAAAAGUUUCACAUCAUAGCUUUACAUUUAUUAUCAAUAUGUGUUGGAGUCUGCUGGGUUUUACCAGAGCAAGCUGAUCAAUAUCUUAGAAACACACAUUUAGCUGUUGGUGUCCUCCAAAAUGACACUUUCCCCCUCUCUGAAUCUGCUUCUUAGAUACUGAUGGUGUACGGAGUCAUCUGUGGUUGGUGUUAAUCAUCGCUCCAAUGCUGGUAUUGAUCGCUGUGGCUGGUAUUCUCUGCAGGAGAAAAAUUAUAAAGCAGAGGAUGGAUCUACCACCUCCAUUUAAAC